GUGAGUUUUUCUUGAAACCAAAUAGUCUGAUUUUUGGCAUCGAGCUAAUUCUGAUGCAUAUAUCAGGUCAGAAACCAUUGGCUACAAAUUUUUUUUUUAGUUCUAACAGGCACGCGUUCAAAAAUAUUGGCCAACUCUUCGCACGUGUGUUACACCCGUGCGAAAAGUCGGCCGAUCCGGAAGAACUGGAGAUGGCCAUAAACGGCCGAGGAACAGUCCGUUUUGGGCCAGCGGUCAAGAAAAUAAGUUCCGUUAAUUACCGGUGCACUUCAGGAUAUUUAUUUAUCAAGUUCUUUUAGUUUCUUAACUGUAAUUA
Molecule: long non-coding RNA, 316 nt
Filed under: Androctonus crassicauda
Lineage: Eukaryota; Metazoa; Arthropoda; Arachnida; Scorpiones; Buthidae
Source: RNAcentral